This 87-nucleotide transfer RNA is filed under the name Sulfitobacter litoralis. Its description in RNAcentral is "tRNA-Leu". It matches the Rfam family "tRNA". From Rfam's summary of the family: Transfer RNA (tRNA) molecules are approximately 80 nucleotides in length. Their secondary structure includes four short double-helical elements and three loops (D, anti-codon, and T loops). The record is from RNAcentral. Lineage: Bacteria; Pseudomonadati; Pseudomonadota; Alphaproteobacteria; Rhodobacterales; Roseobacteraceae. RNAcentral also lists the same sequence under 1 other name.
GCGGAUGUGGCGUAAUUGGUAGCCGCGCUGGUCUCAGGUACCAGUGAUCGGAAGAUCGUGGAGGUUCGAGUCCUCUCAUCCGUACCA